GUGCAAAUGUUGAAGUUCUGUUUUGAUCUUUGCGGAGUUCAGUGAUGCUAUGCAC
This 55-nucleotide small RNA is filed under the name Salix viminalis (osier). Lineage: Eukaryota; Viridiplantae; Streptophyta; Magnoliopsida; Malpighiales; Salicaceae. The record is from RNAcentral.